Molecule: ribosomal RNA, 487 nt
Filed under: uncultured bacterium
Lineage: Bacteria
Description: partial 16S ribosomal RNA
Rfam family: Bacterial small subunit ribosomal RNA
Source: RNAcentral
GACGAACGCUGGCGGCGUGCUUAACACAUGCAAGUCGAACGGAAAGGCCCUGCUUUUGUGGGGUGCUCGAGUGGCGAACGGGUGAGUAACACGUGAGUAACCUGCCCUUGACUUUGGGAUAACUUCAGGAAACUGGGGCUAAUACCGGAUAGGAGCUCCUGCUGCAUGGUGGGGGUUGGAAAGUUUCGGCGGUGGGGGAUGGACUCGCGGCUUAUUAGCUUGUUGGUGGGGUAGUGGCUUACCAAGGCGUUGACGGGUAGCCGGCCUGAGAGGGUGACCGGGAACAGUGGAACUGAGACACGGGCGAGAGGCGUAGGGGAGGCAGAAGUGGGGAAUAUGGGAGAAUGGGCGAAAGCCUGAUCCAGGCAUGGGGCGUGGGUGAAGAAGGUCUUCGGCUUGUAAAGCCGUUUAAGGGGGGAGGAAGGGAAGUAAGUUAAUACCAGGAUGUUUUGACGGUACCAACAGAAGAAGCACAGGGUAACGUCGU